AUUGAGCGCUGGCGGCAGGCCUAACACAUGCAAGUCGAACGGUAACAGAAAGCAGCUUGCUGCUUUGCUGACGAGUGGCGGACGGGUGAGUAAUGUCUGGGAAACUGCCUGAUGGAGGGGGAUAACUACUGGAAACGGUAGCUAAUACCGCAUAACGUCGCAAGACCAAAGAGGGGGACCUUCGGGCCUCUUGCCAUCGGAUGUGCCCAGAUGGGAUUAGCUAGUAGGUGGGGUAACGGCUCACCUAGGCGACGAUCCCUAGCUGGUCUGAGAGGAUGACCAGCCACACUGGAACUGAGACACGGUCCAGACCCCUACGGGAGGCAGCAGUGGGGAAUAUUGCACAAUGGGCGCAAGCCUGAUGCAGCCAUGCCGCGUGUAUGAAGAAGGCCUUCGGGUUGUAAAGUACUUUCAGCGGGGAGGAAGGGAGUAAAGUUAAUACCUUUGCUCAUUGACGUUACCCGCAGAAGAAGCACCGGCUAACUCCGUG
Molecule: ribosomal RNA, 490 nt
Filed under: uncultured bacterium
Lineage: Bacteria
Description: partial 16S ribosomal RNA
Rfam family: Bacterial small subunit ribosomal RNA
Source: RNAcentral